GGGGUUGUGGAUCAAUGGUAGAGCACUUGCCUCACGUGUAUGAGGCACUGGGUUUGAUUCUCAGCACCCACA
Molecule: transfer RNA, 72 nt
Filed under: Ictidomys tridecemlineatus (thirteen-lined ground squirrel)
Lineage: Eukaryota; Metazoa; Chordata; Mammalia; Rodentia; Sciuridae
Description: Spermophilus tridecemlineatus (thirteen-lined ground squirrel) tRNA
Rfam family: tRNA
About the family: Transfer RNA (tRNA) molecules are approximately 80 nucleotides in length.
Source: Rfam by way of RNAcentral